UCGAGCGGCAGCGCGGGGCAACCUGGCGGCGAGCGGCGAACGGGUGAGUAAUGCAUCGGAACAUGUCCAUGUCGUGGGGGAUAGCCCGGCGAAAGCCGGAUUAAUACCGCAUACGCCCGAGAGGGGAAAGUGGGGGACCGCAAGGCCUCACGCGAUUGGGUUGGCCGAUGUCCGAUUAGCUAGUUGGCGGGGUAAGAGCCCACCAAGGCGAUGAUCGGUAGCUGGUCUGAGAGGAUGAUCAGCCACACUGGGACUGAGACACGGCCCAGACUCCUACGGGAGGCAGCAGUGGGGAAUUUUGGACAAUGGGGGCAACCCUGAUCCAGCCAUUCCGCGUGAGUGAAGAAGGCCUUCGGGUUGUAAAGCUCUUUUGUCCGGAACGAAACGGUUACGGUGAAUACCCGUGACUACUGACGGUACCGGAAGAAUAAGCACCGGCUAACUACGUGCCAGCAGCCGCGGUAAUACGUAGGGUGCGAGCGUUA
This 485-nucleotide ribosomal RNA is filed under the name uncultured bacterium. RNAcentral's name for it is "bacterial SSU rRNA". It matches the Rfam family "Bacterial small subunit ribosomal RNA", at positions 62 to 543 of the family's 1533-position model. The record is from RNAcentral.